UACGAAGGGUGCAAGCGUUACUCGGAAUUACUGGGCGUAAAGCGUGCGUAGGUGGUUUGUUAAGUCUGAUGUGAAAGCCCUGGGCUCAACCUGGGAAUGGCAUUGGAAACUGGCUGACUAGAGUGCGGUAGAGGGUAGUGGAAUUCCCGGUGUAGCAGUGAAAUGCGUAGAUAUCGGGGAGGAACAUCUGUGGCGAAGGCGACUACCUGGACCAGCACUGACACUGAGGCACGAAAGCGUGGGGAGCAAACAGG
Molecule: ribosomal RNA, 254 nt
Filed under: uncultured bacterium
Lineage: Bacteria
Description: partial 16S ribosomal RNA
Rfam family: Bacterial small subunit ribosomal RNA
Source: RNAcentral